GUGCGAUGAUGAAUUAGCCAUGCUAAUACUGAGGCAUGCAACUUUCAAAUUUUGCGUGUCAUUGAGUUUAACAAAAAAUCUGAGCACA
Molecule: small nucleolar RNA, 88 nt
Organism: Stegodyphus dumicola
Lineage: Eukaryota; Metazoa; Arthropoda; Arachnida; Araneae; Eresidae
Source: RefSeq, a predicted model, not a curated record